AUGAAGUUACUGUGUUGGAAUUGUCGCGGGAUUGGCGACCCUGCGACGGUCCGUGAGCUCCGCGAUCUCGUGGAGGCAUGUGCGCCGAUUGUGCUUUGUAUUAUGGAAACACAGUUGGCGAAGUACCAGGUGGAAGGUUUGGCGGGUACUUUAGGUUUUUCAGGUCGUUUUGGAGUAGAUAGUGGUGGUAGGAGUGGAGUUUUAUGCUUGUUUUGGAAGAAUGAUGUUAAUAUUGAAAUAAAAACUUAUUCUCGCUAUCAUAUUGAUUCAGUGGUGAAAUUGGUGGGAAGGACCCGUGGUGUUUGUGUGACGUCCGGAUAA
RNAcentral lists this ribosomal RNA (321 nucleotides) under Triticum aestivum (bread wheat). RNAcentral's name for it is "partial small subunit ribosomal RNA". The record is from RNAcentral. Lineage: Eukaryota; Viridiplantae; Streptophyta; Magnoliopsida; Poales; Poaceae.